GAUUCGAUUCCUACGGGAGGCACCAGUGGGGAAUCUUGCGCAAUGGUCUAACGACUGACGCAUCGACGCCGCGUGUGGGAGGACGCCUUUCGGGGUGUAAACCACUGUUGCCCGGGACGAACAGCGCUAUUCUUGGCGUCUGACGGUACCGGGUGAGGAAGCACCGGCUAACUCCGUGCCAGCAGCCGCGGUAAUACGGAGGGUGCGAGCGUUGUCCGGAAUCAUUGGGCGUAAAGGGCGCGUAGGUGGCCCGGUCAGUCUUUGGUGAAAGCGCGGGGCUCAACCCUGCGUCGGCCAGGGAUACUGCCGCGGCUGGAGCACUGUAUAGGC
Molecule: ribosomal RNA, 330 nt
Filed under: uncultured bacterium
Lineage: Bacteria
Description: bacterial SSU rRNA
Rfam family: Bacterial small subunit ribosomal RNA
Source: RNAcentral